CAGGUGAGGUCCUUGGGAAC
Molecule: microRNA, 20 nt
Filed under: Salmo salar (Atlantic salmon)
Lineage: Eukaryota; Metazoa; Chordata; Actinopteri; Salmoniformes; Salmonidae
Description: ssa-miR-125b-2-3p
Gene: ssa-miR-125b-2-3p
Source: miRBase by way of RNAcentral